RNAcentral lists this ribosomal RNA (966 nucleotides) under uncultured bacterium. Its description in RNAcentral is "bacterial SSU rRNA". It matches the Rfam family "Bacterial small subunit ribosomal RNA", at positions 8 to 1017 of the family's 1533-position model. The record is from RNAcentral.
AGAGUUUGAUCCUGGCUCAGAGCGAACGCUGGCGGCAGGCUUAACACAUGCAAGUCGAGCGGGCGUAGCAAUACGUCAGCGGCAGACGGGUGAGUAACGCGUGGGAACGUACCUUUUGGUUCGGAACAACUGAGGGAAACUUCAGCUAAUACCGGAUAAGCCCUUACGGGGAAAGAUUUAUCGCCGAAAGAUCGGCCCGCGUCUGAUUAGCUAGUUGGUGAGGUAACGGCUCACCAAGGCGACGAUCAGUAGCUGGUCUGAGAGGAUGAUCAGCCACAUUGGGACUGAGACACGGCCCAAACUCCUACGGGAGGCAGCAGUGGGGAAUAUUGGACAAUGGGGGCAACCCUGAUCCAGCCAUGCCGCGUGAGUGAUGAAGGCCCUAGGGUUGUAAAGCUCUUUUGUGCGGGAAGAUAAUGACGGUACCGCAAGAAUAAGCCCCGGCUAACUUCGUGCCAGCAGCCGCGGUAAUACGAAGGGGGCUAGCGUUGCUCGGAAUCACUGGGCGUAAAGGGUGCGUAGGCGGGUCUUUAAGUCAGGGGUGAAAUCCUGGAGCUCAACUCCAGAACUGCCUUUGAUACUGAGGAUCUUGAGUUCGGGAGAGGUGAGUGGAACUGCGAGUGUAGAGGUGAAAUUCGUAGAUAUUCGCAAGAACACCAGUGGCGAAGGCGGCUCACUGGCCCGAUACUGACGCUGAGGCACGAAAGCGUGGGGAGCAAACAGGAUUAGAUACCCUGGUAGUCCACGCCGUAAACGAUGAAUGCCAGCCGUUAGUGGGUUUACUCACUAGUGGCGCAGCUAACGCUUUAAGCAUUCCGCCUGGGGAGUACGGUCGCAAGAUUAAAACUCAAAGGAAUUGACAGGGGCCCGCACAAGCGGUGGAGCAUGUGGUUUAAUUCGACGCAACGCGCAGAACCUUACCAGCCCUUGACAUGUCCAGGACCGGUCGCAGAGAUGUGACCCUCU